This 501-nucleotide ribosomal RNA is filed under the name uncultured bacterium. Its description in RNAcentral is "partial 16S ribosomal RNA". It matches the Rfam family "Bacterial small subunit ribosomal RNA", at positions 29 to 523 of the family's 1533-position model. The record is from RNAcentral.
AUUGAACGCUGGCGGCAUGCCUUACACAUGCAAGUCGAACGGCAGCACGGGUGCUUGCACCUGGUGGCGAGUGGCGAACGGGUGAGUAAUACAUCGGAACGUACCUUAUCGUGGGGGAUAACGCAGCGAAAGCUGUGCUAAUACCGCAUACGCCCUGAGGGGGAAAGGGGGGGAGCGGAAGACCUCUGGCGAUUAGAGCGGCCGAUGCCUGAUUAGCUUGUUGGUGGGGUAAAAGCCCACCAAGGGGACGAUCAGUAGCUGGUCUGAGAGGACGAUCAGCCACACGGGGACUGAGACACGGCCCAGACUCCUACGGGAGGCAGCAGUGGGGAAUUUUGGACAAUGGGGGCAACCCUGAUCCAGCAAUGCCGCGUGAGUGAAGAAGGCCUUCGGGUUGUAAAGCUCUUUUGUCAGGGAAGAAACACCGGCUCUAACACAGUCCGGGAAUGACGGUACCUGAAGAAUAAGCACCGGCUAACUACGUGCCAGCCGCCGCGGUAA